RNAcentral lists this ribosomal RNA (497 nucleotides) under uncultured bacterium. RNAcentral describes it as "partial 16S ribosomal RNA". It matches the Rfam family "Bacterial small subunit ribosomal RNA", at positions 28 to 507 of the family's 1533-position model. The record is from RNAcentral.
GAUGAACGCUGGCGGCGUGCUUAACACAUGCAAGUCGAGCGAACAGACGCGGAGGUUGCUCCGUUCACGUUUGCCGAGCAGGGGUGUGAAACAUGUGGAUACUCCACUUGUAUUAGUGGGAAAAUUUGGGGAAACCGGCUAAUAUCCCGUAUGACCUCCUGCUCCGUAUGGUUCAAUGGUAAAUGUCGGCGUUUCUGGCUCUUAUCGCGGCUUACGCGCUGCAUUGGCUAGUUGGUAAGGUAACGGCUUACCAAGGGAACGCUGCGUAGCCGACCUGAGAGGGUGAUCGGCCGCCUUGGAACGUAGCCAGGGACCAGACUCCUACGGGAGGCAGCAGUAGGGAACCUUCCGCAAUGGGCGAAAGCCUGACGGAGCAACGCCGCGUGAGUUAAGAAGGUCUUCGGAUCGUAAAACUCUGUUAUUGGGGAAGAACAGAUUUGUAAGUAACCAUGCACGUAUUGACGGUACCGGAUCAGAAAGCCACGGCUAACUACGUG